UCGAGCCGCCUCGCCCGUCUUCCUAGUGGGAACGGCUGAGUGCGUAGCCCUGGGCGGAGGGGCGUGCUGGGAACGCAACCACAGCCCCUGGUUUGAACAGCGGGACCAGCUAGUCCCUGCCACCUAGUACACAGGGCACUGCUGCCACUAGGAAGCAAAAAGAAAUCUGCAACUAUGUGAAAAGAUACUUGUGAUGUGAUGAGACCUAAAAAGCCUAUUUGGAACAAGUCCCUUCUCUCCUGGCCUCACCUUGCGCACGGACACGCGGAAGAUGCAGGGGUCCAGCAGGCCAGUGGCCGGGUUGGCGCUCAUCUUACACACGAAGGUGAACCUCUUCCGCCACCGCACACAGUUCUCCUGCACCUCCUCCCUGGGGGCCAGACCGGACAGGAACCGCCAAGCAAACAGCUGAGGAAGUGACCUCUCCACACCCCAGGGACCCGAGGAGCGCGGUCAGCUGCCAGUCGCCCGAGGGUGGGGAGUCAGCGAAAGCAGGAACCUCCGGGACAGGCUUGUUUGCUUUUCACGA
Talpa occidentalis (Iberian mole) is the source of this 529-nucleotide long non-coding RNA. RefSeq lists it as uncharacterized. The record is from RefSeq and is a predicted model, not a curated record. NCBI's taxonomy places the organism in Eukaryota, Metazoa, Chordata, Mammalia, Eulipotyphla, Talpidae. The transcript is spliced from 3 exons.